CCUACGGGUGGCAGCAGUGGGGAAUAUUGCACAAUGGGGGAAACCCUGAUGCAGCGACGCCGCGUGAGUGAAGAAGUAAUUCGUUACGUAAAGCUCUAUCAGCAGGGAAGAAAUACUGACCUUACGGUCAGCAGACAGUACCUGAGUAAGAAGCCCCGGCUAACUACGUGCCAGCGGCCGCGGUAAGACGUGGGGGGCAAGCGUUAUCCGGAUGUACGGGGUGUAAAGGGAGCGGAGACGGUUCGCCAAGUCAGGAGUGAAAUGCCGCAGCUUAACUGCGGAACUGCUUUUGAAACUGGAGAACUAGAGUGCGGGAGGGGUUAGCGGAAUUCCUAGUGUAGCGGUGAAAUGCGUAGAGAUUAGGAGGAACACCGGUGGCGAAGGCGGCUUACUGGACCGUAACUGACGUUGAGGCUCGAAAGCGUGGGGAGCAAACAGGAUUAGAUACCCUUGUAGUC
This 458-nucleotide ribosomal RNA is filed under the name uncultured bacterium. Its description in RNAcentral is "partial 16S ribosomal RNA". It matches the Rfam family "Bacterial small subunit ribosomal RNA", at positions 338 to 795 of the family's 1533-position model. The record is from RNAcentral.